Molecule: long non-coding RNA, 451 nt
Filed under: Homo sapiens (human)
Lineage: Eukaryota; Metazoa; Chordata; Mammalia; Primates; Hominidae
Description: HSALNT0330852
Source: RNAcentral
CAGAGGAAGAGCCUCCUAAGAAAAGGGUACACAAUAGUGGAAUGAGAGAAAAGAGCAGAGAGAGCCAGAUGCCCACAUGAGAAGGGUCUGGAGGAAAGAGGCUGUUUGGGCAGAAAAUGAUGAUCCUUAGCUGCUAACUCUGUCAGCACAAAGAGAGUGGGACUGCAGAUGACCUCCAACACUGAAUAAACCAAAAAGGAUUCAUUUAACGUUUGAGAACAAAUUCUCAGGGAUCCCCUGUGAUCAGCAUUAAUGGACUGGGGCGAGAACAGAGAAGGUGACUUCACAUUUAUGAAUAUCAAAUAAUGAGGGCUCAGCUUUUUGCCUUCCAGCAGUCAAGUUCUUCUUCUGGGAAGUGCCUCUCUGUCGGGGUAACAAACAUUUUUAAGUUGACUGAUACAUUUUAAAAGUAGUAUGUAGAAAGGCUUUCUAAAAUCAAAAUCCAAUUUUA